Molecule: transfer RNA, 87 nt
Filed under: Campylobacter rectus RM3267
Lineage: Bacteria; Pseudomonadati; Campylobacterota; Epsilonproteobacteria; Campylobacterales; Campylobacteraceae
Description: tRNA-Leu
Rfam family: tRNA
About the family: Transfer RNA (tRNA) molecules are approximately 80 nucleotides in length. Their secondary structure includes four short double-helical elements and three loops (D, anti-codon, and T loops). Further hydrogen bonds mediate the characteristic L-shaped molecular structure. tRNAs have two regions of fundamental functional importance: the anti-codon, which is responsible for specific mRNA codon recognition, and the 3' end, to which the tRNAs corresponding amino acid is attached (by aminoacyl-tRNA synthetases). tRNAs cope with the degeneracy of the genetic code in two manners: having more than one tRNA (with a specific anti-codon) for a particular amino acid; and 'wobble' base-pairing, i.e. permitting non-standard base-pairing at the 3rd anti-codon position.
Source: RNAcentral
UGCGGAUGUGGUGAAAUUGGCAGACACGCCAGACUUAGGAUCUGGUGCCUCACGGCGUGAAGGUUCAAGUCCUUUCAUCCGCACCAU